Molecule: unclassified non-coding RNA, 2894 nt
Filed under: Daphnia magna
Lineage: Eukaryota; Metazoa; Arthropoda; Branchiopoda; Diplostraca; Daphniidae
Description: chitin synthase chs-2, transcript variant X4
Source: RNAcentral
UUGAUAGGUAAAACAGAGUACAGACACAUAAAGAUAGGAAAUCAAUCGCCCAACAAUCAACGCCAACUCCACCUAGCGGCGGAGCACUGCACAUCGUUGCGCUGUCUAUUUCGUACACCGUGUGCUACCUGCAGGACGUGUUAACGCACAUUUCCAUUGUGCAGGUGAGGGAAAAAGGGGGCCAAUGUUCCGAUGUUUAAAGCUUCUAAGCAGCGAAUGUCUGUGCUCAAUAAACGCCCCUAUACCGUCGCAAAUAUAUUCCAAGGCGAUAAUAAAAACAAAGGUCACUCGCGGUUCAUCGAGGGUUUCCGCCGGUACGUUUUGGCGUUCCAUCCAAACAUGGACAAAAGGAAAUUGAAACUUUGUGGCAAGCUGAUUGCCUGUUGCGUGGCUUUCAUCUUGGUCCUGUCGACAGGACUUGCAUCCAAAGCAGCAAUUUUCUUCAUGACGUCGUCCAUGGGCCAGGUGCUGAAAGAACUCUAUCCAGGAGGAAGGCAUCGUUACGCUAGAGAAAAGGACCUCAUCCAACACGUUGAGCGAUUCGCUUGUUGGAUGUGGAGUCUUUUGUUCAGUAUCGCAGUUCCUGAAUUAUUCAGUUUCUUGCAUUCGCUACACAUUUUUCUUUCCCGCCGAGAUUGUUGGACGCGUCCUCGUCUUGUUGAUUUUACGAUUGUGUUUUUAUUUGAGACUGCCCAGGUCGUUGGAAUGCCUUGCUAUUUGGUUUCGUUUUGCCGUGCCUUUCGGUGGUACAUGGCAUUUUGAUCACCAACUGCCUUUAUCUGGUACCCGCCCUAUUCAACUUCCUUUCGUGAAAAUCUGACGAUCAAAAGCGAGUGGCUAAAAUGACGGUGGACGGGAUCACAUUUCUUGCCCAGUUGAGUGGCUGUCUACAUUUGAUCUUCAUCCGAAGCACUGCGACUACAUUGGCCAACAGCUACGAUUCCAGUUUCACCCAACGUAAACGGAUGAUGGAUUGUAUGUUGCCUCUAUCCCUUUUUCUCAUUUCUCUUGGAUGGUGGGAGAAUCACGUCGACAAAGAUGCACCUAUCGGUUUUAUCAAGUCGUUGGGUCGAAUCAAAGAAAAAAUGAAGAAGACACGACAUUUUAUUCAGAUGUUUGUCAGCCUGUGGAAAUUAUUGGUUUUCCUUUGCACGAUGCUUAUUUUGACCAGCGUCGUUCUUCCGGAAGGAUGCACAACAGAUGCUAACCUCAGUUCAUUCUUGUUUGUUAUCAAACAAGGCUUACAUCAGUUUUGGUCCAGUGCGAUCCCGUUGGAUUGGAUGUCUCCGUUUUACAUCUUUCUCAUUCAAUCGAGUACCUCUUUGCUUUUCUAUUUAUUCGGGACAUUUGCCUGCAAGAUCGGUGCACAGAGAUACUGCUUCGCCCUUCCAGUGGUCUUAAUAACCCCUGUACUCAUUUCAACUUUAACCAUGGCCCAUUUCAAUAUAGUCGACCCAUUUCCGGCUUAUAUCUCAUUCGGGAUAGAUAACGGCCACCAUCAACCAAUGAUAUUGCUAGCUCUGUCGUUUAUUUUGUUUCUUUCCCAGACUUGGAUUACCCUUCACAUUUGGGAGCCUGUUGAACCAGACUCUCAUAUGAAUGAUACUAAAUGGUAUAAUUCUCUUCUUAUUGAUCACUCAUUCAAUUUGAGCUCGCCCCGAUAUCGAAACGAGGGUGAUGUCAUCUCAGGCUGUACAGCAAACUGUACCGUGACGACGCGCAUUUUUGCCGUUGCAACGAUAUGGCACGAAUCGAGCGAUGAGAUGAUGGCCAUUCUCAGGUCCAUCUUCCGUAUGGAUAACGAUCAAUCGAAGCGCCGUGAUUGCAACAAGGUUAUUGACCCAUAUCUCUAUCAUUACGAGACGCAUAUCUUUUUCGACGACGCUUUCGAAUCGAGCACGAAAGAUAGGGACGCGUCGAGGGUAGCCAAUCAGUUUGUGAAUGAGUUUAUCGCAAUGGUCGAUAAGGUGAACUCUCAAUGGACGCAUUCUACCAGCCCUCAAUCACCGACGACUUCUGUCACUCCUUAUGGAGGUCGGUUGGUGUGGAUCCUUCCGGGAAACACAAAAAUGGCAGUUCAUUUGAAAGGCAAGAUGAAAAUUCGUAUCAAGAAACGUUGGAGUCAAGUAAUGUACAUUGACUAUCUAAUCCGGUAUGAAAUGGCAAACUGCAUGGAUAUGACGAAUGUCUUUUUACUGUCGCUGGACGGAGAUAUGGACUUCCGGCCAAAAGCCGUGCACGUCCUUGUAGAUCGGAUGAAUUCCGAAAGAGAUGUAGGUAUCGUAUGCAAUCGUUCUCAUCCCAUCGGAUCAGCAGAUGCAAUGGUUUGGUAUCAAAUGUUUGAGUACGCAAUCGGCUUCUGGUUGCUGAAACCUAGUGAGGAUCUGUUGGGAAGUAUACUUUGCGCUUCCGGUUGUUUCUCCCUGAUCCGUGCUAGUGUUCUCCUGGACGAAGAAGUCAUGAAUAAAUUCACUGCUCUUUCAGAGGAAGCUCACCACAUGAUCCAACGUGACCAAGUACUUAGGCGAAGAUCGAUGGCUGUGCACUUUACUCAUCAAACGAGGAUAUCGACUAGCCUACUCCGUAAACAGUUCUGCCUACACCCAUUGCCCGGAGACAUUCGAAGAGUUUUACAAUCAACGUCGUCGAUGGGCGCUGUCUCUAAUUGCAAAUACGAUAGAUGUGCUCUGGAAUGGUAGGCAGAUUGUUAAAAUGAAUCCAAAUAUUUCGUGGCUUUACAUAGUUUUCCAGGCCGUGUUACUAACUAUGGGCAUCUUGUGUCCCGGAUCAAUUUUUCUUGCACUAGUCUACACUUCUGCAACCACAUUUGUUCUCAGCCCUUGGAUUAGUCUCGCUGUUCAUUCAGUUCUUAUUUUUAUGUAUGUCUUAACCUG